GCCCCCGUGGUGGAGUGGUUACCACUUAACUCUUAUAAUGUUAAGGUCGCCAGUUCGAUCCUGGCCGGGGGCA
This 73-nucleotide transfer RNA is filed under the name Trichoderma reesei QM6a. RNAcentral's name for it is "tRNA-Ile (TAT) (tRNA-Ile-TAT-1-1)". It matches the Rfam family "tRNA". From Rfam's summary of the family: Transfer RNA (tRNA) molecules are approximately 80 nucleotides in length. Their secondary structure includes four short double-helical elements and three loops (D, anti-codon, and T loops). Lineage: Eukaryota; Fungi; Ascomycota; Sordariomycetes; Hypocreales; Hypocreaceae. The record is from RNAcentral. RNAcentral also lists the same sequence under 3 other names.